Molecule: ribosomal RNA, 200 nt
Filed under: uncultured bacterium
Lineage: Bacteria
Description: partial 16S ribosomal RNA
Rfam family: Bacterial small subunit ribosomal RNA
Source: RNAcentral
GACGGAGGGUGCAAACGUUGUUCGGAAUCACUGGGCAUAAAGCGCACGUAGGCGGCGCGCUAAGUCAAGAGUGAAAGCCCCCGGCUCAACCGGGGAACUGCUCCUGAUACUGGCGUGCUCGAGGACGGUUGGGGUGAGUGGAACUCCUGGUGGAGCGGUGAAAUGCGUAGAUAUCAGGAGGAACACCGGUGGCGAAAGCG